CCUACGGGUGGCAGCAGUGGGGAAUAUUGCGCAAUGGGCGAAAGCCUGACGCAGCGACGCCGCGUGAGGGAUGAAGGUCUUCGGAUCGUAAACCUCUGUCAGCAGGGAAGAACGGUCACUGUGCUAAUCAGCAGUGAAUUGACGGUACCUGCAAAGGAAGCACCGGCUAACUCCGUGCCAGCAGCCGCGGUAAUACGGAGGGUGUGAGCGUUAAUCGGAAUUACUGGGCGUAAAGCGCUCGUAGGCGGUAUGUCAAGUCAAGGGUGAAAUCCCCGCGCUCAACGUGGGAACUGCCUUUGAAACUGGCAAACUGGAGUGUGUGAGAGGAUAGUGGAAUUCCAGGUGUAGGAGUGAAAUGCGUAGAUAUCUGGAGGAACAUCAGUGGCGAAGGCGACUAUCUGGCACAUAACUGACGCUGAGGAGCGAAAGCGUGGGUAGCAAACAGGAUUAGAUACCCGGGUAGUC
RNAcentral lists this ribosomal RNA (465 nucleotides) under uncultured bacterium. Its description in RNAcentral is "partial 16S ribosomal RNA". It matches the Rfam family "Bacterial small subunit ribosomal RNA", at positions 338 to 795 of the family's 1533-position model. The record is from RNAcentral.